AUUGAACGCUGGCGGCAGGCUUAACACAUGCAAGUCGAGCGGAGAUGAGGUGCUUGCACCUUAUCUUAGCGGCGGACGGGUGAGUAAUGCUUAGGAAUCUGCCUAUUAGUGGGGGACAACAUUCCGAAAGGAAUGCUAAUACCGCAUACGUCCCACGGGAGAAAGCAGGGGAUCUUCGGACCUUGCGCUAAUAGAUGAGCAUAAGUCGGAUUAGCUAGUUGGUGGGGUAAAGGCCUACCAAGGCGACGAUCUGUAGCGGGUCUGAGAGGAUGAUCCGCCACACUGGGACUGAGACACGGCCCAGACUCCUACGGGAGGCAGCAGUGGGGAAUAUUGGACAAUGGGGGGAACCCUGAUCCAGCCAUGCCGCGUGUGUGAAGAAGGCCUUAUGGUUGUAAAGCACUUUAAGCGAGGAGGAGGCUACUGAGACUAAUACUCUUGGAUAGUGGACGUUACUCGCAGAAUAAGCACCGGCUAACUCUGUGCCAGCCGCCGCUGUAA
This 501-nucleotide ribosomal RNA is filed under the name uncultured bacterium. RNAcentral describes it as "partial 16S ribosomal RNA". It matches the Rfam family "Bacterial small subunit ribosomal RNA", at positions 30 to 523 of the family's 1533-position model. The record is from RNAcentral.